AAUAGUACAAAUACUCAUAUCAUAAUAGCAGUAUCUCAAAGCUCUAAUAUCUUUCGAAUGCACAGACACAUUUUAACAUUCAACUGAUUAAAUUUGGUUUGCAUUCAUGCAAGGUCCAACCUUUAAGCCCCCAGAUCUUAGGAGUAGUCCAACCCACUUUGACAUGGUCUCUUCCAGCCCAAGGCCUUUAUUCGUAUUAUUUUUUUGGAGAAAAUUACUUUAAUACACAACUCAACUUACCUUAUUCUCUAUUUUUUCCUAUUUUUUUUUUAAAUAUUUCAUUAAUCCCUUUUUUUAUUCUUUUAAACCCACCUCCUGGAUACAGUUCACAUCUCCUAACUCAUGUCUAUCUCCUCCGUUUUUCACUCCUCAAAUCACAUCAUAUUUUCUCUCCCAUAAUCUUAUCAGUUUAAUUUUGAAUUUGAAUUUCAAGAUAUUUCACUCUCCCGUUAAACGCUUUUCAUUACUUCUGGGUAUUACCCAGAUAAUGGCAUCUAACAUCAAUCAUAUUUAUGACCAUCAAGACACAGGUUGGGCUG
Long non-coding RNA from Solanum pennellii, 539 nucleotides. RefSeq lists it as uncharacterized. The record is from RefSeq and is a predicted model, not a curated record. The transcript has 2 exons. NCBI's taxonomy places the organism in Eukaryota, Viridiplantae, Streptophyta, Magnoliopsida, Solanales, Solanaceae.